CAGAAAAAGACCGGCAGUCAAAUGCAGAUUUGAGAGUCCUGAUUUGCCACAGUACAAAACUGUCAGAAAAAAAGCCCUCAAAUAAGAAGUAGUAGGUAAAAAUGAGCAAAUUAUGCAUACCAAAAUGGCAGAUGUGGAUCUGACAUGUCUUUCUACUUAAGGAAAUUAAGAAUUAAUAAUUAUUGUAAACCCACAGAACUCCCGGUUCUGUGGCACUAUGAAAUGUCACUGUUUCUUACAAGCUCCUUCAUUCAUGAAGCAACAGUAUUUGUUAAUUAUUAUUUGCCAUAAUACAAGUGAGUAAAAUCAGAGAUGUAAAGGUUUCUAGUUUUUCAUGUACAUUAACUACCAUUUUAUAUUUCACCCCUUCCUCCCGAGGUACACAAUAGAAAGCAAAGACCUUUCUGACCACCCCAGACUUGGAUCUCUCUUCUCAGAAAAUAAACUGUGAUUCAGCAGCAGCGUGGGUUACGGCUCUUUGCCCUCACCGUGCUCUGUCUGCACUACUGGAGGGCUGUCUCUGAACACUCCCAUCACGCGUUCACUGGAGUGGGAAAACAAAAGGUGAGUACUGAAGGGCCACUGCAGGAAACAGUCUUUCCAAAGCAUUGAAAUUUCUGCCCCCUCCCUGCUCAUGGAGAACUCUGCUGACUCCUGUCACAACCCCAACUGGUGGACCUUCCCCAAAGCAGUAAUGAAUGACACUGAAUCAUACUUCUGGCAUGCUGCUAGGAUAAGGUGGUCAAGUUAGUGACUUUGUAACAGGAUCCUUCUGAGGCAACUGUACCCUUAACUGGCACACCACCAAAUCCCUAUCUUCUUCCCAAAAUGCUGCUUCUACGUUACAUGAUUUGGAGAAGGAAGAUGAACUCAGGUAUUCCACUUU
Molecule: long non-coding RNA, 886 nt
Organism: Pezoporus flaviventris
Lineage: Eukaryota; Metazoa; Chordata; Aves; Psittaciformes; Psittacidae
Exons: 4
Source: RefSeq, a predicted model, not a curated record